CCUACGGGAGGCAGCAGUGGGGAAUAUUGCACAAUGGGGGAAACCCUGAUGCAGCGACGCCGCGUGAGUGAAGAAGUAUUUCGGUACGUAAAGCUCUAUCAGCAGGGAAGAAAAUGACGGUACCUGACUAAGAAGCCCCGGCUAACUACGUGCCAGCAGCCGCGGUAAUACGUAGGGGGCAAGCGUUAUCCGGAUUUACUGGGUGUAAAGGGAGCGUAGACGGCAGCGCAAGUCUGGAGUGAAAUCCCAUGGCUUAACCAUGGAAUUGCUUUGGAAACUGUGCAGCUAGAGUGCAGGAGAGGUAAGCGGAAUUCCUAGUGUAGCGGUGAAAUGCGUAGAUAUUAGGAGGAACACCAGUGGCGAAGGCGGCUUACUGGACUGUAACUGACGUUGAGGCUCGAAAGCGUGGGGAGCAAACAGGAUUAGAUACCCUAGUAGUC
RNAcentral lists this ribosomal RNA (440 nucleotides) under uncultured bacterium. RNAcentral's name for it is "partial 16S ribosomal RNA". It matches the Rfam family "Bacterial small subunit ribosomal RNA", at positions 338 to 795 of the family's 1533-position model. The record is from RNAcentral.